CUGCUGCCUCCCGUAGGAGUUUGGGCCGUGUCUCAGUCCCAAUGUGGCCGUCCACCCUCUCAGGCCGGCUACUGAUCGUCGCCUUGGUGGGCCUUUACCCCGCCAACCAGCUAAUCAGACGCGGGUCCAUCCCAUACCACCUUGGUUUUCAAACAAAAAGCAUGCGCUUUCUGUUGUUAUGCGGUAUUAGCACCUAUUUCUAAGUGUUAUCCCCCUGUAUGGGCCAGGUUACCCACGUGUUACUCACCCGUCCGCCACUAAGCCUUUCCCUUUUCCG
RNAcentral lists this ribosomal RNA (277 nucleotides) under uncultured bacterium. Its description in RNAcentral is "partial 16S ribosomal RNA". The record is from RNAcentral.